CAAGGAAUUUUCCCCAAUGGGCGCAAGCCUGAGGGAGCAACGCCGCGUGGGGGAAGAAGCGUUUCGGCGUGUAAACCCCUUUUCCUUAGGACGAAGGAAGUGACGGUACUGAGGGAAGAAGGCCCGGCUAACUACGUGCCAGCAGCCGCGGUAAUACGUAGGGGCCAAGCGUUGUCCGGAGUUACUGGGCGUAAAGGGUGCGCAGGCGGUGGGUUACGUCGUGUGUGAAAGCCCCCGGCUUAACCGGGGAAGGUCGCGCGAAACGAGCUCACUGGAGGCAAGGCGAGGUCGGUGGAAUUCCCGGUGUAGUGGUGAAAUGCGUAGAGAUCGGGAGGAACACCAGAGGCGAAGGCGGCCGACUGGACUUGACCUGACGCUGAGGCACGAAGGCGUGGGGAGCGAACGGGAUUAGAUACCCCCGUAGUCC
This 427-nucleotide ribosomal RNA is filed under the name uncultured prokaryote. Its description in RNAcentral is "bacterial SSU rRNA". It matches the Rfam family "Bacterial small subunit ribosomal RNA", at positions 355 to 796 of the family's 1533-position model. The record is from RNAcentral.